AUACGGAGGGCGCGAGCGUUAUUCGGAAUCAUUGGGCGUAAAGCGCGUGUAGGCGGCUGGGCAAGUCGGAUGUGAAAGCCCCAGGCUCAACCUGGGAAUGGCAUUCGAUACUGCCUGACUAGAGUAUGGUAGAGGGAAGUGGAAUUUCCGGUGUAGCGGUGAGAUGCGUAGAUAUCGGAAGGAACACCAGUGGCGAAGGCGACUUCCUGGGCCAAUACUGACGCUGAGGUGCGAAAGCGUGGGGAGCAAACAGGAUUAGAAACCCGAGUAGUCC
Molecule: ribosomal RNA, 274 nt
Filed under: uncultured bacterium
Lineage: Bacteria
Description: partial 16S ribosomal RNA
Rfam family: Bacterial small subunit ribosomal RNA
Source: RNAcentral